This 398-nucleotide ribosomal RNA is filed under the name Bruchidius holosericeus. RNAcentral describes it as "partial 12S ribosomal RNA". The record is from RNAcentral. Lineage: Eukaryota; Metazoa; Arthropoda; Insecta; Coleoptera; Chrysomelidae.
UAAACUAGGAUUAGAUACCCUAUUAUUUUAAAUGUUAAGUUUUAAUAUCAAAUUAGUAAUAGUUAUUUUCUUGAAAAUUAAAAAAUUUGGCGGUAUUUUAGUCUUUUCAGAGGAACCUGUCCUGUAAUUGAUAGUCCACGAUAAUUUAUACUUUUUUUAUUAAUUUACAUAUCGUCGUAGUUUAAAUAUUUUAAUAGAAUAAUAAUAUUUAUAAUUUUUUAUUAAAAAAUAAAUCAGAUCAAGGUGUAGUAUAUAAAAAAGAAGAGAUGGGUUACAUUAAAUUUAUUUUUGGAUAAUUUUUUUAAAAAAAAUUUGAAUUUGGAUUUGAAAGUAAUUUUUUAUAUUUAUUUAAAAUGAUUAAAGCUCUAAAAUAUGCACACAUCGCCCGUCGCUCUUAA